AGAGAUAUAGCUUAGUGGCACAGCGCCUGCCUGACAAGUGUGAAGCCUUGAGUUUGAUUCUCAGUUCUUUUU
This 72-nucleotide transfer RNA is filed under the name Cavia porcellus (domestic guinea pig). It matches the Rfam family "tRNA". From Rfam's summary of the family: Transfer RNA (tRNA) molecules are approximately 80 nucleotides in length. Their secondary structure includes four short double-helical elements and three loops (D, anti-codon, and T loops). Further hydrogen bonds mediate the characteristic L-shaped molecular structure. tRNAs have two regions of fundamental functional importance: the anti-codon, which is responsible for specific mRNA codon recognition, and the 3' end, to which the tRNAs corresponding amino acid is attached (by aminoacyl-tRNA synthetases). tRNAs cope with the degeneracy of the genetic code in two manners: having more than one tRNA (with a specific anti-codon) for a particular amino acid; and 'wobble' base-pairing, i.e. permitting non-standard base-pairing at the 3rd anti-codon position. Lineage: Eukaryota; Metazoa; Chordata; Mammalia; Rodentia; Caviidae. The record is from Rfam by way of RNAcentral.